UAUGAUUAAUUUAUUGGCAGAAAAAUGCAUUAGAAUUAGAAUCUAAUAAGACUUUA
Molecule: transfer RNA, 56 nt
Filed under: Sidymella sp. B MACT-2017
Lineage: Eukaryota; Metazoa; Arthropoda; Arachnida; Araneae; Thomisidae
Description: tRNA-Leu
Source: RNAcentral